This is a long non-coding RNA of Micropterus salmoides (largemouth bass), 546 nucleotides long. RefSeq lists it as uncharacterized. The record is from RefSeq and is a predicted model, not a curated record. The transcript is spliced from 2 exons. Lineage: Eukaryota; Metazoa; Chordata; Actinopteri; Centrarchiformes; Centrarchidae.
GCCUGCCUGCCCUUGUUCUGCCCGUGAUUGCGCUGAUUUGUAUCACCUGUUUGUGCUCCCACCCUGCUCGUUUGUCUGUGUAUAUCUGUGUUGUCAUUUUUGUUUCUUUACUUGCAUUUGUUCAACGUUUGGAUUAUCUUGGGCUUUGGGGAGUCCUUAAUUGUCAUUUGGCCUGCUUUUCCUUUUGAACUGCCACUACCAGACACACUGACUGCUGAUGGUCCAGACAGAAGAGUUCGAGCUUCUCGGAGUGUAGAGAGCCUCAGACUCGAGUGAAGAAAGAAGGCCGGUUCUAAUUCACCAAACUGUGCUUGACCCUUUGAUGAUCUUCUCUUACAAAUUGUAAACUCCAGUAUUUGUUACACUUUCCACCAUCUUUACAGACAGACUCUACAGAAGCUUUUGCUACCUGACAGAACAAUAGGGUCUAUGUCAUGGCAUAAAGUAAAUUGGUUAAGCCCCCCUGUUUACAUUCAAUAAUAGUUACUUCACCUUGAAUUGUGUUUUUAAUAAAAAUAAAACUCAGUGUUUGGAGUUGUAGCAGGU